Molecule: non-coding RNA, 210 nt
Organism: Caenorhabditis elegans
Lineage: Eukaryota; Metazoa; Nematoda; Chromadorea; Rhabditida; Rhabditidae
Source: Ensembl
GCCUAAGCCAAAGCCAAAGCCUACGCUUAAGCAUAAGCCUAAGCAUUAGUCUAAGCCAAAGCCUGUAUCUAAGCCUAAACAUAAGCCUUAGACUUAGCCUUAGUCUUAGCCUAAGCCUAGGCCUAAACCUACGCCUACGACUAAGGCUAAGCCUAGGCCUAAGCCUAAGCCUAAGCCUAAGCCUAAGCCUAAACCUAAGCCUAAACCUAA